UCUCCGUAGGUGAACCUGCGGAGGGAUCAUUACAGAGUUCAUGCCCUAACGGGUAGAACUCCCACCCUAUGUUAUCAUCACUUUGUUGCUUUGGCGGGCCGUCAGGCCUCGGCUUGGCUACCGGCUCUCGCUGGUAAGCGCCCGCCAGAGAACCCCAAACCCUGAAUAUCAGUGUCGUCUGAGUACUAUAUAAUAGUUAAAACUUUCAACAACGGAUCUCUUGGUUCUG
RNAcentral lists this unclassified non-coding RNA (229 nucleotides) under plant metagenome. RNAcentral describes it as "partial contains small subunit ribosomal RNA, internal transcribed spacer 1, and 5.8S ribosomal RNA". The record is from RNAcentral.